GAGUGGCGAACGGGUGAGUAACACGUGGGCAACCUGCCCAAAAGAGGGGGAUAACACUUGGAAACAGGUGCUAAUACCGCAUAACCAUAGUUACCGCAUGGUAACUAUGUAAAAGGUGGCUAUGCUACCGCUUUUGGAUGGGCCCGCGGUGCAUUAGCUAGUUGGUGGGGUAAAGGCUUACCAAGGCAAUGAUGCGUAGCCGAACUGAGAGGUUGAUCGGCCACAUUGGGACUGAGACACGGCCCAAACUCCUACGGGAGGCAGCAGUAGGGAAUCUUCCACAAUGGGCGAAAGCCUGAUGGAGCAACGCCGCGUGGGUGAAGAAGGUCUUCGGAUCGUAAAACCCUGUUGUUAGAGAAGAAAGUGCGUGAGAGUAACUGUUCACGUUUCGACGGUAUCUAACCAGAAAGCCACGGCUAACUACGUGCCAGCAGCCGCGGUAAUACGUAGGUGGCAAGCGUUAUCCGGAUUUAUUGGGCGUAAAGGGAACGCAGGCGGUCUUUUAAGUCUGAUGUGAAAGCCUUCGGCUUAACCGGAGUAGUGCAUUGGAAACUGGGAGACUUGAGUGCAGAAGAGGAGAGUGGAACUCCAUGUGUAGCGGUGAAAUGCGUAGAUAUAUGGAAGAACACCAGUGGCGAAAGCGGCUCUCUGGUCUGUAACUGACGCUGAGGUUCGAAAGCGUGGGUAGCAAACAGGAUUAGAUACCCUGGUAGUCCACGCCGUAAACGAUGAAUGCUAAGUGUUGGAGGGUUUCCGCCCUUCAGUGCUGCAGCUAACGCAAUAAGCAUUCCGCCUGGGGAGUACGACCGCAAGGUUGAA
This 819-nucleotide ribosomal RNA is filed under the name uncultured bacterium. RNAcentral's name for it is "bacterial SSU rRNA". It matches the Rfam family "Bacterial small subunit ribosomal RNA", at positions 93 to 898 of the family's 1533-position model. The record is from RNAcentral.